Molecule: long non-coding RNA, 785 nt
Organism: Populus nigra (black poplar)
Lineage: Eukaryota; Viridiplantae; Streptophyta; Magnoliopsida; Malpighiales; Salicaceae
Exons: 2
Source: RefSeq, a predicted model, not a curated record
GCUCGCUUAGCAUGCGAGAGGUACGGGGAUCGAUACCCCGCAUCUCCAUUACGGAUUUUGUACAUUAUUAUAACUGAGUGCUUCAUUUUUUCAGACCUGUAGAUUUGCUUUUCUAACCCUCGCCCAUUGUCGUUUUAUGGUAAUGUGUUGGUGUUUCUCUAAAUGGUAAUUCUAUUAAGAACGGCUAAACCCAUAUUGACGACAAAAAAGAAAAAAAAAGUGAGAUAAAUAUGAUGAGGAAGGUGAAAGUCGUAGUAAGAUCUGCCAAAUCAGAAUUUAUAAUAUUUAAAAUGGAAGACAGAGCUAUGCAUAUGGUUUGCAGUUGAUUCAACUAAGCUUGUUAUCUGAAGCCAUUUGCUUAGAAACAUCAAUGAUGAUGAUUAGAGCAGGAAAAAUCAUCCUGCAUUUUGUGCACGAGCACGUGGUGGUUGUUGUUGUUGUUGAUGGCUAUGAAUUUGGACUCGCCAAGCUUGGUCCUUGUGGAGACAAGAUGUAUCCAUCAUCAAGAGUGAUCUCUAUCAGUAGAAAAAAAUUGGCAAAAUUAAUGAUACACGCAACCUGUUUGAUAAAAUGCCUCGUGGAAAUUUAGUUUCAUCAAGAGUGAUAUCUAUGCACGCAAGAAAUUGACAAAAUUAAUGAUGCACGCAACCUAUUUGUUGAAAUACCUCGUAGAAAUUUAGUUUCUUGAAACAAUAUGAUAUUUGUUGUUGGUUAUAAUGGGUAAGGUUGCUUAUAAACUGGUUGUUGUUGGUUAUAAUGCCUCACAAGGACUUAUUUUCAUUUUA